GAGUUUGAUCUUGGCUCAGAUUGAACGCUGGCGGCAUGCCUUACACAUGCAAGUCGAACGGCAGCACGGGAGCUUGCUCCUGGUGGCGAGUGGCGAACGGGUGAGUAAUGCAUCGGAACGUAUCCUGGAGUGGGGGAUAACGUAGCGAAAGUUACGCUAAUACCGCAUAUUCUGUGAGCAGGAAAGCGGGGGACCUUCGGGCCUCGCGCUCUUGGAGCGGCCGAUGUCGGAUUAGCUAGUUGGUGAGGUAAAGGCUCACCAAGGCGACGAUCCGUAGCAGGUCUGAGAGGAUGAUCUGCCACACUGGAACUGAGACACGGUCCAGACUCCUACGGGAGGCAGCAGUGGGGAAUUUUGGACAAUGGGCGAAAGCCUGAUCCAGCCAUGCCGCGUGUGUGAAGAAGGUCUUCGGAUUGUAAAGCACUUUAAGUUGGGAGGAAGGGCAGUAAGUUAAUACCUUGCUGUUUUGACGUUUACCGACAGAAUAAGCACCGGCUAACUCU
This 503-nucleotide ribosomal RNA is filed under the name bacterium enrichment culture clone ALO1_GLFRUDD03GHV9J. RNAcentral describes it as "bacterial SSU rRNA". It matches the Rfam family "Bacterial small subunit ribosomal RNA", at positions 9 to 504 of the family's 1533-position model. The record is from RNAcentral.